AGAAGGCAUCUCGGGCAUUAGUAGAACUGACCAUUGUGGUCAUCUUCCUUCAGGCAUAAGUCACCUGUCUGAUGACCAGCCAUUGAAUGUCCAGAUGUUCCAGACCUCUCUUCUCUUGAAUGGAGCCAGCUACGUGUCGGUGUUGAGGGUAACCAGAUGGUGCAGGGUGGCCAGGACAGCAGCGAGAAGGCUGCUGCAAUAAUCCAGGCAGCAGGUGACGGGGCUCACGGGCAUCGUGCUACUGUAUUCCAGAAAACCAUGAUCUAAUUGUUUAAUUAUAUUAUCAUUCCUCAGAAUAAUACUCAAUUCAAGAAUUAAUCUAGCUGUCUAGGCAAAUGUUAGUUAGGGCAUAAAAGAUGGAGUCUCUGCCUGCCCUGGAGGAGGCAGACAAACAAGCAAGCAAAGAAGACAGAGAGAUGGGGCACAGUUGGGCUCGCCUUGCUCUGUGCUCGAGAGUGCAGUGACUUCACUGCAGGUGGAAUUGCACGGAUGCUGUCCCAGAGCCAAGCCGCCUUGGCAUCUCUGAAGACCAGUGCUGUGUGCUUGGUGUGUGGUUGGUUCCCCAAACUGACUGUACCAGGUUCCUUUUAAGCACCAGGCAGGCCGGUGAGUUAAGAUGAUUCAACUGAAGCCUUGUGGGUAAACUGAGCCCGCAGAACCUGAGGGCCAAGAAGGAUCCAGAAACCAUCCACCAACUUUGAGCCCAGCAUCUUUCUGCAGCCCCGCAUGCUCUGAGUCUCUGACUACAUGCAGUGAGUGUUCAGUCAGUAUAAGGGCAGCACUUGAAUUUUAAAAAGAGAUGAAAGAAAACAGAUGAGAAAGACCUGGAAGACCUGAGCUGCAUAAACUUGCAGAGGAAGUAGCAAGUGCUGCAUGACUUUUGCGCUAGUGUCACGCCUUCUUGGAGAAGGACAGAGAACAAGGACAGUUGUUGAGCUCAUGCAACUGCAUCCUCCCAGCACCAGCACCUUUUCUGAAAAGUGGCAGGGGACAGCUGGCUUCCCGGCUGCUGGGCCAGUGACUUCUCAUGCCACCCACCAGGAGAGCUGCAGGAAGGAUGUUGGCAGCUGUGUUCAGGGCCACACAGGGCUGGCCGGACUGGCAACUACUUGGAACCAACCUAUCCCUAAACAGCCCACCAUGACAAUACCAGUGACCCACAGGAAAAUGAUGCACAUCUUAAAGUUUCAAAUCUGGGUCCAGCUGAGCAAAGAGCAACCUCCAGGUGGUCCUGGGGGAGGGCCUGCACGAUGGAGAAAUGCAAUACGGCAUUGGGAGACUCUCUGUGACAUGAUGCAACCAGCCAGCCAGUGUCACUGGACAGGAGCUGGGUCCCACAAAGCCAGAAGGUGCGCUGUGGCACAUGGGCCCUGCUCCUUCACAGAGGAGUGCCUGAUGCCUUCUUCCUUGCCCUCCUGCUCUGCAGCUUUCGGUGGAUCCCCUUACAGUUUUGUGGGUAAUAGAUCUGCAACAUAACCAGCGCCACUUUAGACAAGCCCAAGUACAAAAUGGCGCCACCCAUUUCCUC
Molecule: long non-coding RNA, 1528 nt
Organism: Galeopterus variegatus (Sunda flying lemur)
Lineage: Eukaryota; Metazoa; Chordata; Mammalia; Dermoptera; Cynocephalidae
Exons: 3
Source: RefSeq, a predicted model, not a curated record